GGCUUAGAAGCAGCCAUGCAUUCAAAGAGUGCGUAACAGCUCACUGGUCGAGUGGGGGCGCGCCGACAAUGCGCGGGGCUCAAGCACGGCGCCGAAGCGGCGGAAUCAUUCAUUCGAUUGGUAGGGGAGCUUUCCAUGCCGGGCGAAGCCGGAGGCGCGAGCCCCGGUGGACGGCAUGGAAGUGAGGAUGCAGGCAUGAGUAGCGAGAGAGCGGCGAGAAACCGCUCCGCCGAAAACCCAAGGUUUCCUGGGCGAGGCUAAUCCCCCCAGGGUCAGCCGGGAGCUAAGGCGAGGCCGCAAGGCGCAGCCGAUGCACGACGGGCAGACAUUCCCGUGCCGGCGCGGGCGCGCUACGACCGAUGGGACGACGGGGAAGGAUACGCGAGCGGGGUUCUGGACGUCCCCGUGAAAGCGCGUAGGGAGGGGCCCAGGGAAAUCCGGUCCCCACACAUCCCGAGACGCGAGACGAGCCCUAUGGCGAAGUCGCGGAUUCCAUGCCUCCUAGAAAAAUCCCUAGGCAGCGCCCACGCCGCCCGUACCAAAACCGACACAGGUGGGUAGGAAGAGCAUUCCGAGGCGAUCGGGGCAACCAUGGUCAAGGAACUCGGCAUAAUCGUCCCGUAACUUAGGGAGAAGGGACGCCCCCCAGCGUGUACCGGCUCGCCCGGGAAGCGCCGGGGGGCCGCAGCGAAAGGGCCCAAGCGACUGUUUACCAAAAACACAGGACUCUGCCAAGCCGCGAGGCGAAGUAUAGGGUCUGACGCCUGCCCGGUGCCGGAAGGUUACGCGGAUGCGUUAGCAGCGAUGCGAGGCGCUGAAGCCAAGCCCCGGUAAACGGCGGCCGUAACUAUAACGGUCCUAAGGUAGCGAAAUUCCUUGUCGGGUAAGUUCCGACCUGCACGAACGGCGCAACGACUUGGGCGCUGUCUCGACCAUGGGCCCGGCGAAAUUGCAUUAUCCGUGAAGAUGCGGAUUCCCCGCGGAAGGACGGAAAGACCCCGUGAACCUUUACUGCAGCUUGGCAUUGGCCGCAGGCGCGGCGCGUAGAGGAUAGGCAGGAGGCUGCGAAGCCCGGGCGCCAGCCCGGGCGGAGCCGACCUUGGAAUACUGCCCCCGUCGCGUCGGCGGCCUAACCCGGGGACGGCCCGGGGACCGUGCCAGGCGGGCAGUUUGACUGGGGCGGUCGCCUCCCAAAGAGUAACGGAGGCGCGCGCAAGGUCCGCUCAGGACGGUCGGCAACCGUCCGCGGAGCGCAAGAGCACAAGCGGGCCUGACUGCGAGGCAGACAAGCCGAGCAGGGACGAAAGUCGGCUCUAGUGAUCCGGCGGCCCCGAGUGGAAGGGCCGUCGCUCAACGGAUAAAAGGUACUCCGGGGAUAACAGGCUGAUCUUGCCCAAGAGUCCACAUCGACGGCAAGGUUUGGCACCUCGAUGUCGGCUCAUCGCAUCCUGGGGCUGGAGUCGGUCCCAAGGGUACGGCUGUUCGCCGUUUAAAGCGGUACGCGAGCUGGGUUCAGAACGUCGUGAGACAGUUCGGUCCCUAUCCUCCGCGGGCGCAGGAGAAUUGAGGAGGGCUGCCCCUAGUACGAGAGGACCGGGGCGGACGGGCCUCUGGUGUCCCGGUUGUCGACCAACGGCACGGCCGGCUAGCCACGCCCGGAACGGAUAACCGCUGAAGGCAUCUAAGCGGGAAGCCGUCUCCGAGAUGAGUUCUCCCUUCGGUAAGCCCCCAUGUAGAACACGUGGUAGAUAGGCCGCAGCUGCAAGCGCCGCGAGGCGUUCAGGCGAGCGGUACUAAUAGGGCGAGCCCUUGCACC
RNAcentral lists this ribosomal RNA (1816 nucleotides) under human gut metagenome. RNAcentral's name for it is "bacterial LSU rRNA". It matches the Rfam family "Bacterial large subunit ribosomal RNA", at positions 1103 to 2925 of the family's 2925-position model. The record is from RNAcentral.